Synchiropus splendidus (mandarinfish) is the source of this 3514-nucleotide long non-coding RNA. RefSeq lists it as uncharacterized. Lineage: Eukaryota; Metazoa; Chordata; Actinopteri; Syngnathiformes; Callionymidae. The transcript has 4 exons. The record is from RefSeq and is a predicted model, not a curated record.
UCCGCUGAUGUCAGAAGAGGAGCCUGACAAUAACCCAUCACGUCCCCGUGUAAGUGAUAUUGAGGCAUUCCUAGAGAAAUGAAAAAUAGAAAUGUUUAUUUCAUAUCAAAUAUUUGUUUGUCCAUAUUCAUUAUUGAUGCUUUCUAAAUGAAUAUUUCACCCGAUAGAACAUACUCAGACAUCAGCUGACAGAAAGUCUUCUUGACAAACUGCAAGCGGCUUUGAGUCAACAACCAAUCAACUUGGAUAAUAUGGACUUUCUACACGCCAUGAGCUUAUUCUAUUUAGGUCAUUUUACGACCAGAGGCCGACAGAGGCACUGCAAAACCUACAUGAACUUGUCCAAUGUGACCUUACUGCCAACUUGAUACCGGUUGUGAAACUGGAAAUGGAAACAUGAAAUCAUUAUUGAGAAAGAAAAACCUGAAUAUUUGCGAGACACACACCUCCCAGUCCCUUGCAUUGCUAAAUGUCUGGGUGUGACAGAAAGAACCACUUACAGGAGAAUGCAAGAAUUUGGGUUAUCUGCAAGAGGAACAUACAGCACAAUGAGUGACCGAGAACUACACAAUGUUAUUUCUCGAAUAAAGCAACAGAUGCCAAAUGCAGGGUAUUGAAUGGUUAGGGGCCUUUUAGUGUCAAUGGGCAUCCGCAAUCCAGUGGAGUAGACUGAUGGCUUCUUUGCAUCGAGUUGAUGCUGCGGGGAUCCUCACAAGGCUGACAAAACUAGGAUGUGUCAAAGAUGUUAUUCAGUCAGAGGCCCUCUCACCUUUGUCCAUGUCGAUCCAAACCACAAACUAAUCAAGUAGGUGGCUUUUCAGAGUUAUUAUGAAUGCCCCUGUUGAUUGUAAAGAUAAUUGUUGUAGUUUUACGCUGUGCUUAUUGUGCUUUCUUUUCCUUUGAUAGAUGCAACAUUGUGAUAUUCGGUGGCGUGGCUGGUUACUCAAGGAAGAUUUUGUAUCUGGAUGCUGACACAAGCAACAAAGCAUCAACUGCAUUCUCACUCUUCUUGAGGGUAUCCCAGAUUCACGGUGUGAACUAGGGUUAGAGGUGAUCAAGGAGUUGAGAAUGUGGAUGUGUGGAUUCAUGUUUGCCACUCGAGGAACAGGAAGGGCAAGCUUCAUCUCCAGGAAAGUGUCCACAAUCAGAGGUUGUUCUUCUUGUGGCUGCUUUCCACAAAGUCUUGAUGUAAUGCAAAUUUCUUUACAGAAUAAAGUGCCUUUGGCGUGACGUCUGGGCUGCAGUCACCAGCAAAUAUUAUGACGUUCUUCAUACUUUGGAGGAAGAUGGUUUCUUGAUGGAUGGAAUAACCAUCCUCUUCGAACAGAAGAGGGUUUCACUCCAGAACAGCUUUGGAACUCCAAGAUCCAGGCAUCAACUGGGAGUGUGCUGUACAGCAACUUGACACUCGUGAGGCACUUGUGGUUCCAGAAUACGAAUGCCCACUGAACAAUGAAGUUCUGGGAGAACUUCAAAGAAGGAUCAAUCCCCUUACAGAGUCUCAAACAUUUGGUCGAGACUUGUAUUUCCAGUUUUUAGAAGCUAUGCGAAACAGUGAAAGUCAUAACAUACCAUAAAGUAAUUUGGAAAAUAAGGCAUUUUAGGCAAUAUUAUGAACAAUGGAUCAAUUCUGCAUUGAGAAGAACUUUAAUUUAGGGGAGCGGCAUGUGACUGAAAUCAAAACAUUAUCAAAAUGUAUCAAAACAUUAACUACAUUUUCAUUUUUCCCCAUUAAUAAAUUGAAGCUGGCAGUGAGGGGAGCAAUUUUAGCUCUUCCUAGACGAUUAUGAGCUUAGUUAAUUUCAAAAUGUUUUACCGGAUUAUGUCAUCUUUGUUUUCCAAAGUGAUUUGCCUUGUGAAGCCACAGCUAAUAAUUUCAUCUCCACACAACAGCAGUGAUUGUGUAUCUUCACUGCUCUCCACCUUGUAAUUGAAUAUGAAAAUUAGACAAAGGCGCAUUGAACCUCAUAAAAUGGAUGAAAGACUGCCUUCUUGAGUUAAAGGUGGGACUCUGAAUCCGUCACAUCCUCCUUGCACAGUGAACUAUAAUUCACUUCACCACUGCAGAUGAACUGACAGCACCACUCUUUCAGGAAAGCAGGUGGUGGGCCACCUUGUGCAAUGCUAACAGCCACAACAAUUCUGUUUUUAGAAGCUAUGCGAAACAGUGAAAGUCAUAACAUACCAUAAAGUAAUUUGGAAAAUAAGGCAUUUUAGGCAAUAUUAUGAACAAUGGAUCAUGAGGAUGAAAGUGUUAUACACUGAAUAAGUACAGAACAAACAUAUAACUGAAAUAAUAAUAAUAAUAAUAAUAAGUAAUAAAUAACCUGAAAUUGUCGUACUUGGGAUUUUUUUCCAGGACUAUCAGAACCUUCGAAGAACCUUUCCUCUAUCCCAUGAGUCAUUUCUAGAAAUAGAGAAAAGUAAAUUUUCUCAUUAAAGAUGCUACCAUUACUUACUUUUAGUAUUCUUUAAAAUGUGAUUCAUAUUCCGAGACUAUAACAUAGUACAACACAUUUUAUGAAGCGUAACUUUCCAAUUACUGACCAUUACUAAUCACAUCUGUUAGAAACUCCUUCCUCAGAGCACCAGUGUCUACACCCGCUUCUCCUAUAAAAAUAAUCUUUAGAGCACUGGCACUAGAAUAUAAGGCAUGCACUUCAAUUCCAUAGGUAUAUUAACGUGGAUAAUAAUACAAUCACAAUUUACAAGUGCAUGCAUGUCCUGUUAAUCUGUAAUCGAAUGUACCCUUUUGAUUUAAUUGGUGGAUCAUCCCCAUCUCCAUCCUCCUCUAUUGGUGAACAAUGCUCUAUGUCAUCUAGACACAUGAAAUACAUUGAUUAACUGAUCAGUAAGACAACUAGUUGGUGAAAAUGAAUUACUACCUUUCUCCACAAAGGCCAGCACGGACAGAAAUGUCAUCACCUGGAAAUGCUUUGCAGCAAAUAGGGCAAGUAACCAGUACCUUAAAGAAAGACAGGGUGUCUAUGAAGAAUUUUAAAGUUGCGUUGUGUCACUGAUCAGCAGUGAUCUGAUUUGCUCAGUUGACUUGCAAUACAGAUGUUGUUAUAAGUCAACUGACAGUGAUCAGAAAACUAUUUGGUCUCACCUCAUCAAUUAUCACUGACUGUUCUCCCUCACAUUUCUUCACAUGCAUCGCAAGAACAUGUAGAGGCAUGACUUGAUUGCUCUGGUUUGCAUUUGUUUUUUGGCUUCUUUGCAAAGUGGUGAGAGUCCAGAGGUAGAGGAGUGGUGUCCAAGGUCUCUUGGAUUGGCACAAUAUAAAAAAUAGCUUUACCACCUCCUGACAUAGCUCGCAAAGCUUUCACGCUGUAACCCUCUGCUUCAGGAGGGAUGACCGUGAGUUUUUGUCGGCCACUGCCACCUGCAUAAUAUGGUGAGUCAACCAACGUUCAUUAAGGACAAAUAUAACAACAGAAACAAUUCACCACCUGUUGCUUUAUGUAGCAGCCAUCCACUAAGAAGCUGUUCCAUUUUUGGGAAAGCCUCACUC